AAGACAUUUUCUGAUUAAUUUUUGGUAGGUAAAAGGCAAAACUGCAGAAAAUUUCUGGGGAUUAAUAGGGUUGCUAGAAUGUGCGCAUUUACACCUUCAAAUUCGAAGAAGAAAACAGUAUGGAUAUGGACGGAGAACAAGCAAGUAAUGACAGCUGCUGUUGAGGGAGGCUGGAAUACUUUCAUCUUCCCUUCCAAUCGACAAGAUCUUGCCCUUGAAUGGUCUUCAAUUGCAGUGAUACAUCCUGUCUUUAUUAAAGAGGGGAGACUAAUUGAUCAUGAGCAUAAGAGCGUCGCUGCAUUUGCUGAGAUUUCUUCUCCUCAACAGUUAGAACAGUUUCAGAUAUCGGAGGAACAGUCAGAUAAAGUAGUUGUUAAUCUACUAGAUUGGCAGGUGAUACCUGCUGAAAACAUUGUUGCGGCUUUUCAAGGCACUCAGACAACUGUACUUGCUGUCUCAAAGAACCAAUCAGAAGCUCAAGCCUUUCUUGAGGCCUUGGAACACGGUUUGGGUGGUGUAGUAAUGAAGGUUGAGGAUGUUGGCGCAAUCCUUGAGCUGAAGGGUUAUUUUGAUAGAAGACGUGAAGUGGACAGUCUGUUGAACUUGACGAAAGCCAUAAUAACUCAUAUUCAAGUGACUGGAAUGGGUGACCGUGUCUGUGUAGAUAUCUGCAGCCUCAUGAGACCUGGUGAAGGUCUUCUGGUUGGAUCCUUUGCAAGAGGGCUUUUCCUUGUUCACUCAGAGUGCUUGGAGUCAAAUUACAUCUCUAGCAGGCCUUUUCGAGUUAAUGCGGGGCCUGUCCAUGCAUAUGUUGCUGUUCCUGGAGGAAAGACUAGCUAUCUCUCGGAACUCAAGUCCGGGAAAGAGGUCAUUGUGGUUGAUCAAAGAGGUAUGCAGCGAACAGCAAUUGUUGGUCGUGUAAAGGUAGAGACUAGACCACUGAUCCUUGUGGAGGCAAAGGUAGAAUCAGAAAAUGAAAGCUAUUCCAUUCUCUUGCAGAAUGCUGAAACAGUUGGAUUAGUCUCUCCCCUUCAUGGUAAAUAAGUCCAAGAAUCUUUCUCUUUUCCUCUUUCUGUGGUUCAACAUCCCCGUCUUUCUGCAGGUGAGGGACAUCAGCGUACAACCAUUCCUGUGACCUCACUAGAAGUUGGUUCUGAGGUAUUGCUUCUACUACAGGGAGGCGCUCGACAUACUGGAAUAGAAAUUAAAGAGUUUAUUGUUGAGAAAUAAGUUAUUUUCCGCACAUUCACAUUCGUUGAUAAAUGAGUGGCCUGAACCUCUUAAUGAUGAUACAAAUGUAUCAUUUACUAAAUUCUUUAUUUUUGUACCAAAAUGUUGUCAAAUAAAACAAUAUGGCUG
Molecule: unclassified non-coding RNA, 1359 nt
Filed under: Hevea brasiliensis (rubber tree)
Lineage: Eukaryota; Viridiplantae; Streptophyta; Magnoliopsida; Malpighiales; Euphorbiaceae
Source: RNAcentral